GAUGAACGCUGGCGGCGUGCUUAACACAUGCAAGUCGAACGAAGCACUUACAAUUGAUUCUUCGGAAGAAAGAGUUUGUGACUGAGUGGCGGACGGGUGAGUAACGCGUGGGUAACCUGCCUCAUACAGGGGGAGUAACAGUUAGAAAUAGACUGCUAAUAACCGCCAUAAGCGCACAGUACCGCAUGGUACAGUGUGAAAACUACCGGUGGUAUGAGAUGGACCCGCCGUCUGAUUAGCUAGUUGGUAGGGUAACGGCCUACCAAGGCAACGAUCAGUAGCCGGCCUGAGAGGGUGAACGGCCACAUUAGGACUGAGACACGGCCCAA
This 329-nucleotide ribosomal RNA is filed under the name uncultured bacterium. RNAcentral describes it as "bacterial SSU rRNA". It matches the Rfam family "Bacterial small subunit ribosomal RNA", at positions 28 to 334 of the family's 1533-position model. The record is from RNAcentral.